Molecule: long non-coding RNA, 703 nt
Organism: Orcinus orca (killer whale)
Lineage: Eukaryota; Metazoa; Chordata; Mammalia; Artiodactyla; Delphinidae
Exons: 4
Source: RefSeq, a predicted model, not a curated record
GCCAGAGAUCUCCAUUGUGUAUUUGUGCAGUGGCUUUUGGAACCCAAGUAAAGGACCUUUCAUUUCGGGUGAAAUUCCUCUUGGUAGAGUUGACCUAUGCUGGUCUUUGGAGAGCAUGACCACAUCUCAGACCCGGAACCAAAGAUGCUGAUUGCUCUCAGCAGCCUGCACUCUCCCCUCCCGGGCCUCCCCAGCAGGUUAUCAUGCUGACUCAAGGAACACAACCCCCAUCUGGAUGCAGUCCAAACGCCAGAUGUGCCCCCGAUUAGUGUCGGUCUGGGGAAUGUUUCCACGACUGAAAGAUCUGCAAUGGGCUCCUGUCUAGUCUGAUUUUCUUAUGGCAGCCGUCACCUCCACUAUGGAAAGAAAAAUGAACGAUAAUGUUGUGAUGGGCCGGGCUGCCAUGUUUCAGCCUAUUUACAGGUCAUACCCAUUUCAGUAGACUGUGACACUUCAGUGACCUGCAAAUUCUACACAUUAGAGUUCAGAUUUUACACAAACGCCGUACACCCAAGACGUGGACGGGGCGUUUCUACCAGCAACACCCAACUCCCAACAAAAGACACAGGCUCUGUCAGAGGAUGAAAACUACUAAUGAAGAUGCAUUCCAGAUGAUAUGUUGGAUCAUCCCCUAGGAAAAAAAAUGAUUCAUGAAUAAUUUCAUGGCAAUCACACCAAAAAAAGAGAGUAAUAAUUUCCUCAA